ACAACAUCAGCGACAAUAGCAGUGGCGGUGGCUGCCGCGGUGGGCGGCGUCUUCGGCUCCGAAGAAGGAGACGAAUGUCGAUUUCGUCGUCGUCGUCGUCGUCGUCCGUUUCGUGGUGUCCACCGUCGUCGUCGUCGUCGUCGUUGUUGGGCUGAUCCGGUUCGGUGCGCGUUGUGGAGGGGGAGACGAUGUCGUCGUCUUCGUCGUCUUCGUCGUCUUGGCGGCGGCGGCGGCGGCGGCGGCGGCAUUCCCUCUCUCCCUUCCCAUCCCCCGAUUUACCUUCCUGAUAUGAGGACGGCGCAAGCCCGGGGCUCGCGCGCGACCUCCCGGCUGCUUUAAAUGCUCGGCUUCCGUUUUUUUUCCGGCGCGCGUCGCGGUAGUUUUUUUCGGGCGCUUUCCUCCCCCGCGGUAGCGGUAAAAAGUAUACUUCUACUCGUGCCGCUGCGGCGACGGGUUCGGGGGCGUUCGAGCUCGGUUUGGCCGCGUUCGGGGCGGUUGCCCGCAGGCGCGGGACGAGCGGCGGGUUCUCCGAGCGCACCUUCUGGUACCCGAAAGAUGGUGAUCUAUGCCUGGCCAGGAUGAAGCCAGAGGAAACUCUGGUGGAGGUCCGUAGCGAUUCUGACGUGCAAAUCGAUCGUCGGAGCUGGUUAUAGGGGCGAAAGACCAAUCGAACCAUCUAG
RNAcentral lists this ribosomal RNA (680 nucleotides) under Scyphax ornatus. RNAcentral's name for it is "partial large subunit ribosomal RNA". The stretch from base 547 to 680 matches the Rfam family "Eukaryotic large subunit ribosomal RNA", at positions 814 to 947 of the family's 3401-position model. The record is from RNAcentral. Lineage: Eukaryota; Metazoa; Arthropoda; Malacostraca; Isopoda; Scyphacidae.